Molecule: long non-coding RNA, 813 nt
Filed under: Vombatus ursinus (common wombat)
Lineage: Eukaryota; Metazoa; Chordata; Mammalia; Diprotodontia; Vombatidae
Description: lncRNA (ENSVURG00010020406.1)
Source: RNAcentral
UCCCCAACCCAGUCCUGCCAUGGUUUGAUCUAAGGUAAACAGCAGAGUGUGAGCCGACGGAGCAAACACAACAAGAGCGUCAUUGCCAAGCUAUAAACACCUACAUGGCUGAGUCUGAGUUGACUGUGGAGUAAAAGGGAGCAAGAAGAUGAUGGCAACCAGAACAGUCCCUGGCCUGGGAGAAAAGCCCCAUUCCUGAGACACUUUGAUCCCGUUCACUGGGGGCAAUGACCUCUGACUGCAAAUGUGAUAGGAAUUUAUGCACCACCAUCAGCAACAUCCUGUCUACUUGUGAGGUGGUCUUCGGGGGGCAAGAGAUUCUCCUCCUCUGCUUACUUCCUACUUGGAGAUGAAAAUCAGCUUCACAAGUGCAAGGAAACCAUGUGGCCCUUGAGGGAGCCAUCUACGUUGGGAAACUGGCCAAAGAUGAAAGGACCAAGAAGAGAAAAUUCUGGAUCAUUCCUCAACAAGCAUUUAUUGAUUUCUUUUCUGCUACAGUAGUGUGUAAACUACUUAGGAUGAGCAAUAAUGUUGAUAUGCUUUCAUUCUGUGACAGCGAUAGUCAUGCAUGUAUGCUUCAACUGACACUAGGUUGACUCCAAACAUUUAACUUUGACAAGAUGAAACCAAAUUAAGCUGAUUUUCCCUACCUCUAGUUAGUUCUCUUAUUGGUUCAGUGCUAAAUUUUAUGCCAUACACAUAUUUCAUUGCCCUUUUAAUUCUGUGGUUUUUAAGCAUAUAUUUUUCACUAAGGAAAUAUGCAAAAGUUGUAACUCUUAAUGAGCACACUUAAUAAAUAUUAGAAGUAUUGCA